This 399-nucleotide ribosomal RNA is filed under the name uncultured bacterium. Its description in RNAcentral is "bacterial SSU rRNA". It matches the Rfam family "Bacterial small subunit ribosomal RNA", at positions 64 to 507 of the family's 1533-position model. The record is from RNAcentral.
GAGCGGAUGUAGCAAUACAUCAGCGGCAGACGGGUGAGUAACACGUGGGAACGUACCUUUUGGUUCGGAACAACACAGGGAAACUUGUGCUAAUACCGGAUAAGCCCUUACGGGGAAAGAUUUAUCGCCGAAAGAUCGGCCCGCGUCUGAUUAGCUAGUUGGUGAGGUAAUGGCUCACCAAGGCGACGAUCAGUAGCUGGUCUGAGAGGAUGAUCAGCCACAUUGGGACUGAGACACGGCCCAAACUCCUACGGGAGGCAGCAGUGGGGAAUAUUGGACAAUGGGCGCAAGCCUGAUCCAGCCAUGCCGCGUGAGUGAUGAAGGCCCUAGGGUUGUAAAGCUCUUUUGUGCGGGAAGAUAAUGACGGUACCGCAAGAAUAAGCCCCGGCUAACUUCGUG